AAAGGGGAAAAAGGGUUUUCGUUCUCAAUUUCUCACGAUCGUUCCAGUUCCACGACCAUGGUUCCCAUUAGCGCUUCAAUCCAAUCUCCUUCUACGCCAUCAUUUCGCGUUCAAUCCAUGCAUCAAUGCAGAUUUUAGAUCACAUUCCACUCUUCAAGUAUCUCUUGGCUUCAGUAUCUCCACCCAGAUUUCAACGAUGUUCAAAUCAAAUCUAACACAACUUGUCCUCGCAAACAUCUUACUAGUUGAGCUUCAUUUUUCGGUGCUAAAUCGAUAAAUUUUUUGUUGAUUUUGUUUAUUUUCUCAACUCGCUGAAUCUGUAAUGUGUUUGUUGUUUUUCCAAUUCUAGGUUUUUUUUUGUGAUUUGUGUUGCUGUUGUGGUGGUUGAAAAGCAUGUGGAAAUUGACAAGUUUUUUCAGUUCUAGGUAAGGCAAAAUAAUGUUGUUUUCAGCUGAUUAUCUUAUGUAUUGUUCAAUGGUUUCAUUCUCAAUUUCAGCUUAUGCUUUCCCGCUAAGUACAAAUUCAGUUUUCCGAAGCACUAACUUCAAAUGACAGUGUAUUCAUGCUUCGGUUUCAACUGCGAUUGGGGAUGCAUUUUUCUGUAUCUUACAACAAUAUAAGGGUUUAUAGGCUGCAGUCGUGAGAAUUGGUCUAAUAGAGAUGUUAGUGUUUUCAAAGUUGUUUCAAUUUGUUAAAGAAAGUACCUUAUUUGAGAGUUGUGGUGUAGCUGACCUUAUCACAACAUGCAGUAAGAAAAAUGAAUUAUACAAUCCUAUUUUUUAGUUUGCUUGAUUCUGGUUGUACCACAGUUUGUGGAAGAAAAAGAGGCCUUCAACCCGUCGGUAGCUGCAAGUAUAUAAUCACAAGGCUAACACCGGUGACAAAUCAUUUGAUUUAACAGCUUCAGGUUAUUGAUGAAUGUAUUACGGUUCAAUGAUAUGAAACUAUUAUGUUUGUUUGAUAUGAAAUCAUAAUUGUUGUUUGAUUAUUAAUUUUAUGAAAUUAGUAUGGUUUAUAAAUUCUGAAUAUUGUCAUUGCUAAGCAUACAGAAGGACACAUGAUUUAGUUUUAAUGGUUGGAAUGUUAUACCAGCAUGUUUGGAUAUGUGGUUUGAAAGAUCUUGGUUAUUGAACUUUUCAUACGGAGAUUUUUGAAAAUUUUUAAAAUAUGCACUUGGUUAAAAUGUGUUUAUACUAGCCAUUGAAAAAUGAAUAAACAAGCUUCAACUUCGUCGGAAUAGCAUUGCAUUUAUUCUGAUAGAAAAAUUAAGAGUUCUAUUAUGAUACCGAUUUUCUAGUUGAAUAGUCUAUCCUUAAUCUUUUGUGCUCCAAGCAGUAGAUGAUGUUGGUGAAGAUGUGAAAGCGACUAAAGCGUGAGUAGCAUCAACUUUUCUACUAUUUCUUUUUCCGUUUCUCUAUUUUGUUUGUUUAUCGUUUGGCUUUUUGGUAUGUUUUUUCUCUAAUUAAUUAAAUCUGAAUCUUGAUCUAACUUUAUUGAUUUUUUUGUUGGUGAUUUUUUUUCUUCAGGAAUCCAACAAUAUCUGAGAGUGAAAACCAGUUGAAAGAGAAGUUUCAAAUAGAUCUGAUGGUGCUUAUUCUUUUCUUCAUCCACUUCUUUUUUAAUUUGAGGGAAGUUAUCUAGCUCUCUUAUGAAAGUCAUUAAAUAUUUGGUAUAUGCUGACAAAUGUCUGCUGUCUAAUGAAGAUUCUAGUAUUUAACUUCAUUUUAGGUUCAUCUAGUCUUGCUACAGUAAGAAAAGUGUUCUGAAAUCUAACUUGUGCCACUAUCUAACUUGUGCCCCUCCAAGCUGUAAACCUGGCUACAUUUCUUGUGAGGUGAGUGUGCUGCUACUUUCUUAUGUAUUCGUUUGAUCUAUGCCACCUUCUAUGAAACACCGACACAGAAGUGAUUACAACUCACAUAACUAAUCUUUAGUUAUGUUAACACAUAUUAAAAGAACCAGUCUCGAUUCUGCAUAUAUGGCUAAUUUAUUUGCCAAAAAAAUUUUCUUAUGCAUAUAUGAUGAUAUCCCUUACGAGCAGGCUGAAGAGCUAUGUUAUCGCCUUUGACAUUGAAAAUUGUUCUUUUGUCACUUUAUGUAUUCUAAAUACCUGCAUCAUUUUGUCAUGUAAAAAUGAUUUAUUUCCUUAGUAAAAGUCCCAGGAACUAAAAUCCUUUACUGUGCAGAAGAUAUUUAUAAGAAAAGGUGAGUUUGAGCAAGAUAUAUUCAUAUGACAAUGAAUGAUGAUACUCCUACCACACAUACAUACACCUUCAACUAUAGUUUAUGAACUAAAAAUAUAAAUUUAUCGUUAUCUACUAAUUUCUAAAUGCCAGUGUAUUAGUCUUAUGUUUCAAUUAUAGAAGUGAGUGCAGUUAAUAUUAAGUUAUUUUCUCUUAUCAAUUUGAAAAACAAAAAGAAGUGUUGAAUUACUGAACAGAUUUUGUGCAGCUAUUUUCAUAUUUUUUGUUAUGCUACCACUUUUGUGCUUGAAUAUUUAGUAUUUUAACGAAGGGUUGAAUUUUAUUAGAGGUGUCUUACAUUCUAUUUUAAUUUUUGUCCAAUGCCUUAAACUUUGAAACGUGAUGACUCUUGCCUUUCGCUAUUUUCUCGUCAUAUUUUGUAUUUGACUUGUUUUUUGAUAUGCAUGAUAAACAUUAAGUAUAUAAUAUCAUAUGAUUGUAUCAUUUUGUCAUAGUGCUUAGUGCUUACUCAUGGUUGAAACAAGACAUUGAGAAUGUGGUGGUUGUCCACUAUGAGGCUGGAAUGGCUAGGACAUGGUAGAGUAUUUCAAGUUUUCUACAAUUGUUAAGGGUUAAUAGUUGCUAAGCAUUUUCUUGAAGAUAUGUUGAAUGAGCUUGAUAAUUUCCAUCUAUGUCUUGUUGCACUAUUUAGUUGUAUUUAGAUUUUGAUUAAAUAUAUUGCAGCUAUUCCCAACUAUUGAGGAGUAAAUGGAUUAUCAUCAUCACAAAAUAUAUAUUGAUGGAAAAGGACUUGUUCUACCUACUCAGAGUAGGCAUGUCAAGUAUUUCAAACGGAUCAUGUUAACAACAACAAAAUCGAAUUUGGAAAUGAUGCCAAGAAGACUAAUUUCGAAGAUAAAAUGAGAACAAGAUUCAAAUUUACGGAAAGCUCCACUACCACAUAUGGCUCCAUCUAUUCUUUGUUCGUAGAAGAUGAUUCAGAAGACUUUUCACGAAACAUGGCCUUGAGCAUUCCUUUUACUGGCUUCUUUUGUUGUGCCGCGAAAGCAGGUGGCUUCUCCUGAGGUAAUAUAUCAACAACUAUGCAGGUUGUAUCGUCUCUAUGUCCCUUGGCUGGUAAAGCUUCCUGAAGAUAGAAAGAGAAGUGAGAAUACAGGAAAAAAAUGUGCAACUAAUAGUUGCUUGGAGUACCAUUAUUAUAGUUUUCAGGAGAAAUUAAUGCAAACAAGGUGUCUUAUGAUGUUGAAGUCGGAGAUUACUAUUACACCCAAUAUUGCAACAGUCCCACAAAAAAAUAUCAUAAAAUGUUCCUAAAGUAGUAUAUUUAUCUCACUUUUACAAUCUGUGGUGCAGCAGCCUCUGCUGACAUGCCACGACAACAAUCAAGAGCCACUUCUGCAGGUAAAGAAUCCCAAACACCGCCACUGCAGAUAACAAGCCGGCCUCCAGCAGUGGACAGCUGAAUAAACAGAAACAAAUUAAACUCUCCAUAAGGGCUGAUGUGGAUGAUGAUGAUUAUUAUGCCACCACUGCUCCGCCUCAAUCUGUUUGGUGUGUUUCCAACCCACAACAUAGUGAGGACAAAGUAGAGAAUUUUGAGGUUUUUUUCUUAAUGUCUUGUUACUCAUUUUAUAUCCUUUAUCUGUUUGGAUUUGGCAUAUUGGUUUUCUUGAAUGAAAUGAAAUAUUUUCUGUAUAUAUGCAAAUUUACUUUAGGUGGUAUGUUGACAACCAGCCCUUACGAAUGAGUUAAAUUGAUUUUUCAUGUGUUUAAGGUGAUGCCUGUAUAAGGACUUAAU
Long non-coding RNA from Vicia villosa (hairy vetch), 4002 nucleotides. RefSeq lists it as uncharacterized. The transcript has 3 exons. The record is from RefSeq and is a predicted model, not a curated record. NCBI's taxonomy places the organism in Eukaryota, Viridiplantae, Streptophyta, Magnoliopsida, Fabales, Fabaceae.